CCUACGGGUGGCAGCAGUGAGGAAUAUUGGUCAAUGGGCGGAAGCCUGAACCAGCCAAGUCGCGUGAGGGAAUAAGGCCCUACGGGUCGUAAACCUCUUUUGCCGGGGAGCAAGGGCGGGGACGUGUCCCGGCCCGGAGAGUACCCGGAGAAAAAGCAGCGGCUAACUCCGUGCCAGCAGCCGCGGUAAUACGGCCGAUGCGAGCGUUAUCCGGAUUGAUUGGGUUGAAAGGGUGCGUAGGCGGGCUUUUAAGUCAGCGGUAAACGUUCGGGGCUCAACCCCGUCCGGCCGUUGAAACUGGGGGCCUUGAGUGGGCGAGAAGUAGGCUGCAUGCGUGGUGUAGCGGU
Molecule: ribosomal RNA, 347 nt
Filed under: uncultured bacterium
Lineage: Bacteria
Description: partial 16S ribosomal RNA
Rfam family: Bacterial small subunit ribosomal RNA
Source: RNAcentral